UGCAUACUUCUCCAAAGUGAUAAUAUGAAGACUCUCUUCUUUGCAUAAAAAGCAUUAGGCAUAUAAAUGUAUAAAUAUAUUUUAUCAUGUACAGUACAAAAAUGGAACCUUAUGCAUGGGCCUUAGGAAUACAGGCUAGUAUUUCAGCACAGACUUCCCUGCUUGAGUUCUUGCUGAUGCUUGCACCGUGACAGUGGGCACCAACACAGACGUGCCACCCAACCCCCUGCACACACCACCGGCCACCAGGGGCCCCCUUGUGCGCCUUGGCUUUAUAACUCCUCUGGGGGUGAUAUUGGUGGUGAUCACAGCUCCUAGCAUAAUGAGAGUUCCAUUUGGUAUUGUCACACGUCUCCUGCCUCGCUUGGGUUGCCAUGUUUGAGCGAUGGCCCUGUUGAUUUCACCCUGCCUUUUACUGAAUCUGUAAAUUGUUGUGCAAUUGUGGUUAUAGUAGACCUGUAGCACAUUGCCUUUUCUAAACUGCUACAUGUUUAUAAUCUUCAUUUUUAAAGUAUGUAUAAUUUUUUUAAGUAUGUAUUCUAUUCAUAUGGUCUGCUUGUCAGUGAGCCAGACUUGCUUACUAUAUUCCUUUAUAAUAAUGCUAGCCACUUCCUGGAUUCUUUAGUAUUGUGCUGUAUGCAAGAACUUUCCAGUAGCAGUGAAAGAGGGUUGCCUCUCCAAGCUUCCUAAGGGAUGCUGCCCUGGGUGGGGAUGCAUUGCAGAGGCAGUAGUAGCAUGGGGGCUGCAGUGGGGAGUGAGAUGGAAAAGGGUGGGGGGAUAGGAGAAUUCCAGAGUGCUUCCAGCAUGAGGGUCCUGAGAACUUCUGUCCUGAGUUCAGAGAAACAUGCAAAGUAACUAACAAAAUAGCUACUUGCCUUUGCAGUUUUACAGACCCUGGGAGCCGCUUUGGGAGUGAGAAAGGCAACCCUCCAAUGUGUUUCAGCUUUAAAAUGUUGAAUUCUUUUCAGACAUGUGGUAUCUCAUUUAUUCUCCUUUUCUAGCGUUUGUUGAAUUUCAGGCAGAAUGUCUUACAGAAUGUCCUAGAACCAGAUUAUCAUUUAAUCUGAAACAGCUGAGGAAGGGACAGAGCAGGUACAAGGGCAAGGCAGCACAAAGCAGAUCAGGAGAAUGAAGAGGGAAUGCUUUGGUUUUUUGUUUUGUUUUGUUUUUUCUUUUUCAAGUAACUAAAACAGCAUCUACAUGUAGAGUGUUGUGGAGAGCUGAGACCAGGGUAAAGUCGUCAAGUGCAGCAUCAGUACUGUGAGACCUGCCAGCCCCUGGAGAGGGUCAGCCGAGAAUCUGGUAGUGAAGCCUGUCUAGGGUCCCGGCACCCUCACCCUCAGCCACCUGCAGAGAGACCAGGGCCCCAGAGACUAGCCCAGUUCUGAAGUGGGCAGGGGUGCUGCCAGAGCCCUCUGCCCCUUAUAUUGAGACCCUGCUUUCAGGACAGGCCAACCGUUGGCCACCAUGUCACAUUCUGAGUGAGUGUCACAGGUCCCUAACAAUAAUUUUCUGAUCUGGAGCAUAUCAGCAGAAUGCUUAGCCUCAAGGGGCCUGGCAGCUGUAAUGUUUGAUUUAUGAUGAGAACUAUCCGAGGCCACCCUUGGCCUCCAAAUGAGCUGCUCUAGGGAGCCGCCUACUUUUUGAUGAGAAAUUAGAAGAGUACCUAAUGUUGAAAACAUGACAUGCGCUCUUGGGAUCUGCUGUUCUCUCCAGGGCUCCAGAACCUGAUACCUGUUACCAAAGCUAGGAAAGAGCUUUAUCACAAGCCUUCACUGUCCUUGCAUGAGAACUGGCUGCCAGGCUCAGUGUCCCCAUUAACUGUGAAUGAAUCUGA
RNAcentral lists this small RNA (1837 nucleotides) under Pongo abelii (Sumatran orangutan). RNAcentral describes it as "sense intronic". The record is from RNAcentral. Lineage: Eukaryota; Metazoa; Chordata; Mammalia; Primates; Hominidae.